GUAGGGACGGGCGUCAUAAUUGACAUUUCUAAGAAGUUCUAGGCAUUCCAGAGAGAAAUGUAACUUUCUUCUUAGCUUACACACACGGAGAUAAGGAAAUAACGGGCUUUGACACGAUUAGAGGGCGGAGACCGAAAGGGUUCUAGUGCGCAGGCGCAGCCAUCGGUCCUUUUUCUUCUUGGGUGGUGCGGCUGGAACUUUCUGGAAACAGCGGCGGUGGCCAGGGGUGGUCUUCCAAAGGCAGGCGGAAGAGUGUAGCGCGCGGACUUGGCCGCCUCCCGUGCACCGAAUGGCAACCGAGACGUGCUCGUCCCGGGGCCACUCAUUCAGGUUACUCCCUUCCCGAGGGAAGGGUUUUCCGGCGACCGUGGCGCAGUGAGUUUUAAUAAACAUCGAGCACGCAUGCGUGGCUGGUCUGAUGGCUGAUCUACUGCAUCCUAAUAAAAUCGCGUGUGGUGGCGGGGAGAGUUGACGGCGGAGGGACUUGGGGCUUUGGUGUAUUGAAUUGUUCUCCUUGGGGUCCGGCGUGUGAAAACGUAAGGAGAGCACUUUGCACGAACAACUGCGCCCUUCUUUUAGUAACCGUAGGGCUUCUUAUGGUCUGCCUCCUGCAUAGCAAUAUUGCCAGCUUGCAGUGUACGGAAAGGAUUCUCCAGUGGACUCAUCAGGCUGAGCUAUCUACCUACAGCUUUAUUAAACAUGUGACUGAAAAACUGCCAAAGCUCAGAAAGCCUACAGGUACCUAUCCCUUUUUUCUAAUCCACAUAGGAACAAAUCAUACCACCUAAUGGCACUACAAAGAAAGCACAUCAGAUUUUGAAGCUUUGGGAAGGAAAUGCAAGAAUUUAGGGCACUAGUUAGCUUUCUUGGAAGAGGAAUAGAAAGUGAAAGUAAAACUGCAGGUGAAUGACUGGCUAUGAAUAUGGUGCCAACAUGAAAGAUUUAGAUUCUGGAACCACAGACUAUGCUACUUGGAAGACGGACUGCUUUCAAGCAAUGGAUUUCUGCUCACAAAAGAGCUGAAAAGAAAUGUAUUUGGUCACAGCAUGAACAAUUUCAUCGGGAAGGCUUUAAACUGAAUCCUACUGAACUACUGAAUCCUACUGAACUUGAAGGCAACAGUAGAUGAAGGCUUAUGAACCAUGACAGUGAGAAGAACUCUAGUAGUACCCCAAAUAGUCUUUUCAAUACUAUAGGAAAGAUGCCAGACCAUAAAACACAUGAGCUUCAGUAUAUUAGCUACACUAAUACCCAGAGUAUGGAAAGCCAACAUUUUAAAUGUGAACUCUUAACACAUGAAGGCAAAUGUGACCUGAUACAUUUUAUUGAAACUUGGUGCAAUAGCUCCCAUGACUGGAAUAUUGCAAUUAAAGGGUAUAAUUUGUUCAAAAAGAGCAAAAGAAACAGGAAAGCCGAUGGACUUGUAUUUAUGUAUGUGUCUUAUUUUGGCCCCAAGGCAGAAAAUCCUACAAGCAUCUCUUCUCUCUGUAGGCAGUGAAAAUAUCAUACUAAUAAACAAUGAAUAAUUUGC
Long non-coding RNA from Varanus komodoensis (Komodo dragon), 1531 nucleotides. RefSeq lists it as uncharacterized. Lineage: Eukaryota; Metazoa; Chordata; Lepidosauria; Squamata; Varanidae. The record is from RefSeq and is a predicted model, not a curated record. The transcript has 2 exons.